AGAAAAUUCAGGGAGCAAAUGAGCACGAAGAAUCAUGGAUCUCCAACACUAUCCAUUGAUGGGCCUUUUGUUGAAAAUGAUGAAGAAACCAACAAUGAAAUCCUGCAGCAUUUGUGCAACAAUGGGAGACUCAUGGAUGCAUCGAGGCUGAUAGAUAUUAUGGCUCGUAGGAACCAAAUUCCCCACUUCAUUUGCUGUACAAACUUAAUCAGGG
RNAcentral lists this unclassified non-coding RNA (214 nucleotides) under Hevea brasiliensis (rubber tree). Lineage: Eukaryota; Viridiplantae; Streptophyta; Magnoliopsida; Malpighiales; Euphorbiaceae. The record is from RNAcentral.